GUGAAUCAUCGAAUCUUUGAACGCAUCUUGCGCUCUUUGGUAUUCCGAAGAGCAUGUCUGUCUGAGUGUCACGAAACUCUCAACCUCCUUUCCUUUGUGAUCGGCUGGUUGGAUCAUGGGCGCUUGCCGGCCAGGUCGGCUCGCCUGAAAUGCAUUUGCGAUGUUGUGUCCUUGUGAGUUGGCCCGACUAGGCGUGAUGGUAACGACGUUCGUCUAGGAUCCCGCUUCGGCGAGGAGCCGCUCCUGUUGGGCGUUUGCCUUCGCAUGAACACUCAUAUCUUUGGUUUAGACCUCAGAUCAGGCAGGAUUACCCGCUGAACUUAAGCAUAUCAAUAAGCGGAGGA
RNAcentral lists this unclassified non-coding RNA (344 nucleotides) under Basidiomycota sp. RNAcentral describes it as "partial contains 5.8S ribosomal RNA, internal transcribed spacer 2, and large subunit ribosomal RNA". The stretch from base 1 to 71 matches the Rfam family "5.8S ribosomal RNA", at positions 84 to 154 of the family's 154-position model. The record is from RNAcentral. Lineage: Eukaryota; Fungi; Basidiomycota.